AACGAACGCUGGCGGCAGGCUUAACACAUGCAAGUCGAGCGCCCCGCAAGGGGAGCGGCAGACGGGUGAGUAACGCGUGGGAAUCUACCGUGCCCUACGGAAUAGCUCCGGGAAACUGGAAUUAAUACCGUAUACGCCCUACGGGGGAAAGAUUUAUCGGGGUAUGAUGAGCCCGCGUUGGAUUAGCUAGUUGGUGGGGUAAAGGCCUACCAAGGCGACGAUCCAUAGCUGGUCUGAGAGGAUGAUCAGCCACAUUGGGACUGAGACACGGCCCAAACUCCUACGGGAGGCAGCAGUGGGGAAUAUUGGACAAUGGGCGCAAGCCUGAUCCAGCCAUGCCGCGUGAGUGAUGAAGGUCUUAGGAUUGUAAAGCUCUUUCACCGGUG
This 386-nucleotide ribosomal RNA is filed under the name Agrobacterium tumefaciens. RNAcentral describes it as "bacterial SSU rRNA". It matches the Rfam family "Bacterial small subunit ribosomal RNA", at positions 29 to 444 of the family's 1533-position model. The record is from RNAcentral. Lineage: Bacteria; Pseudomonadati; Pseudomonadota; Alphaproteobacteria; Hyphomicrobiales; Rhizobiaceae.